Hippopotamus amphibius kiboko is the source of this 512-nucleotide long non-coding RNA. RefSeq lists it as uncharacterized. The transcript has 3 exons. The record is from RefSeq and is a predicted model, not a curated record. NCBI's taxonomy places the organism in Eukaryota, Metazoa, Chordata, Mammalia, Artiodactyla, Hippopotamidae.
GUUAUCAGCACUCAGCAUGGAAAGAAUCAGAGGUCUGUGGACAGACCCUACGGCUUCUUGGAUGCAUGGGUGAUCUCAGCUAUGGGACUCCCCUCUCUGGCCUCAGACAGCCCAUCUACAAAGCAGGAAUGACCACAGGAGAUGGCAGGGGACAGCCACCGCACAGCUGACGCACCUAAGGCACUCUGCAUCGCACCUGGACCACGGCGGGCGCAUGGUGGGUCUGCGCUGGAGUGAUGUGUCAGUCCUUCUGCGCCUCGAGGAUAUCAAAGCAGAGGCAUGGCUGUCCCUGCAUGGCUGGGAGGGCCCUCUUGGGCACUGGUCAAAUGCUAUGAAAAGAACAUGUCUCAGGAGCCGCUGCCCCUUCAGCCUGGCCUGCAGAAUAAACACGCAUAGAGCAGACUUCACAAGCCCCUGAAGCUGCUGGUCCAAGGAGAAUGAGAGACAUGGAACAGACUCCAACCCAAUCUGCAGCCAGAGCCUAGAGUCCAGGCCAGCCCAGACAAGGUGCA